Molecule: RNA transcript, 1922 nt
Organism: Abrus precatorius (Indian licorice)
Lineage: Eukaryota; Viridiplantae; Streptophyta; Magnoliopsida; Fabales; Fabaceae
Gene name: serine/threonine-protein phosphatase PP1
Exons: 4
Source: RefSeq, a predicted model, not a curated record
GAAAAAUGAGAGUUGAAGCGAACCAUCUUAGGAGUUGAAUUGAAAUUCCGAAAUAAUAAUAAAAAAGGAAAAAAGGGGGAUGAUGGAUCAAGGAUCGUUGAUCUGAGAACCUAAGAUGAUAUAAAAAACCUUAACCUUUGUUUGUCUGUCUGUCUUACAGUUGGGCCAUCUAUCCAAUUUUCUUUAUUUAUCUUCUUCCUUCCCUUUGUUCUGCCUCAUUUAAUCUAAAAGCUAGCGUUGUUGUUGUUGGUAUCCAAUAUUGGAAAAUCAAAUCAAAUAAUAAACAGAAGAUGAUGAUGAUGACAAUGGAGGGGAUGAUGGACAAGGGAGUGCUUGAUGAUGUGAUCAGAAGAUUGCUUGAAGGGAAGGGAGGAAAACAGGUUCAGCUCUCUGAGUCUGAGAUCCGUCAACUCUGCGUCAACGCUCGACAAAUCUUCCUCUCUCAACCAAUUCUUCUUGACCUUCGUGCUCCCAUCCGCAUCUGCGGUGAUAUACAUGGUCAGUACCAAGACUUAUUGAGGCUUUUUGAAUAUGGUGGAUACCCUCCUGCGGCAAAUUACUUGUUUCUGGGGGAUUAUGUGGAUAGAGGGAAGCAAAGUUUGGAGACUAUAUGUUUGCUUUUGGCCUACAAGAUAAGAUAUCCGGAUAAAAUUUAUCUGUUGAGGGGAAAUCAUGAAGAUGCAAAGAUAAACAGGAUAUAUGGUUUUUAUGAUGAAUGUAAAAGGAGGUUCAAUGUUAGGCUAUGGAAGAUAUUCACAGAUUGCUUUAAUUGUUUGCCGGUAGCUGCACUCAUUGAUGAGAAAAUACUUUGUAUGCAUGGGGGACUCUCUCCAGAGCUACAAAAUUUAGGUCAGAUAAGGGAGAUUCAAAGGCCUACUGAAAUUCCGGAUAGUGGUCUCCUUUGUGAUCUGCUGUGGUCUGAUCCUGAUGCUAGCAUUGAGGGCUGGGCAGAUAGCGACCGAGGCGUUUCGUGUACUUUUGGACCUGAUGCACUUGCAGAGUUUUUGGAUAAAAAUGACCUUGAUCUUGUCUGCAGAGGGCAUCAGGUAAACCUCUUAUUUCAUAUCAGCAGAUUAAGCAGGAUAUAAAAUAGAGGUUGGGAGAGCAUAUUUGUACUGGUCUUACAGGUUGUGGAGGAUGGAUAUGAGUUUUUCGCUAAAAGAAGAUUAGUCACAAUAUUUUCUGCUCCAAAUUAUGGUGGGGAAUUUGACAACGCCGGUGCAUUGUUGAGUGUUGACGAAUCUCUUGUAUGUUCCUUUGAGAUAUUGAAACCCGUUGAUAGAGGAUCAGGAAGUGGUACAUCAAAAAUGAAUUUAAAGAAGCCCCCUAAACUUGGAAAGGUCUAGUAUUUGGCAAAGAUUUUCGGUUCAAAUAGGAAUUCAAUCCAGCUAACUAAACUUGUACGGAGUUGAAAUCGCCAAGGAGUUUGACAUGGGGGAGCUUUCCUUCGUCCAAUUUACGAGUUGCAGAUUGCCAAUGAUACUAUAUUGUAAACUGAACUACCAAGGCAUUCUUCUGUGCAGGAGCAGAGAUUAUUGCUUUGUACACCAGUGGUUGCUUGUGUUUGGCAAAUUAGCAUGUAAUUUGUGAGUGCAAAGAGAUUUCAUGUUAUCAAAUGCGUAAAUUUCUAUGCCAUUUAUCUGAAUGACUGCUCAGGAAUGUUGUUUUUGGUAGAGACCUGUCCCAGCGGCUUUCCCUGUUGCUAUGGUACUCAUAACGUAAUCAAUCAUACCACUACUUGUCUUCAACUUUCCAUUGGAUAAUAACUAGCCAAUUCACCACGUUGGAAUUCUCACAUGACAAGGAUACCAUGUUCUGAUUCUUAGAAACAUCACUGUUCCUUGCUUCUCUCACUUAAAAACAAAUGUUACUUUUCUUUGCAUCCUACGGCGAUUAGCUGCAUUAUAUGAAAACCUAUUCCC